Triticum aestivum (bread wheat) is the source of this 125-nucleotide non-coding RNA. The record is from Rfam. Lineage: Eukaryota; Viridiplantae; Streptophyta; Magnoliopsida; Poales; Poaceae.
AUUGUACUCCCUCCGUCCGAAAAUACUUGUAGGAAAAAUGGAUGUAUCUAGACGUAUUAUAUUUCUAGAUAUAUUUAUUUUUGUGCAUUUGUCCGACAAGUAUUUUCAGACGGGGGAAGUACGAA